GAGCGAGUUGGCACACCACGUAGCAAUAGGCCUGGGGCAUUGAAUACCGAUAUACAAAUGUUGUUAGAUGAAUUCAAACUUGAUCCUACAAUUCCUCCUAGAAUUCCUCUCCACCUUUUGGUUACCAAACUCGAUCAGAGCAAACCCAUGAUGCCAUUGGGCUGGGGUGGCAGAUGAUCGAUCGAUCGAUCUUGGUUGGCUCUCUUGCUCUGAUUCAUGGAAAACCAUGUCUGGAAAAUUCAGAAAACAGAGAACUUCAGAAAAUUUUGAAAACAUAAACAAUACACACUAUUCAAAUGCAGCUAAUGCCGUGGAGAUGUCAACAUCAUCGCAAGGGAUUUUAACUUCUAACUUACAUUGAGAAAUGUUGUGUCAUUCCACACAGCCCGUUGCAGAAUACGCUUGGACUUGGUACCAACAUACAAGGGAGAGGCAUUCAUGUCAUUGACGAAGUUUUGGUCUAGAAGAACGUCUCCUGAACCAUCAGCUGCUGAGUUGAAUCGAGCAUGCAAAGCACCUUUAAGAUCGUACUGCCGACCAAUAUUUCGUCCAAAAGAAAGGUUCUCCAUCACCAUAAGGAGAAUUUACGGAGCUGUUAGUUUCCACAGCAAGCAUUCCAUUGCCAGUGGUUCUACCGUUGAUCACUCCUGAAUCUGAAGAGAGGAGUGAAUGCAGACGUUGAUCCCAGAUGCAUGAUUCAAGAAGGAGAUCACACAUAAGCCGGUUCAAACUGAGA
Molecule: long non-coding RNA, 736 nt
Organism: Rhododendron vialii
Lineage: Eukaryota; Viridiplantae; Streptophyta; Magnoliopsida; Ericales; Ericaceae
Exons: 3
Source: RefSeq, a predicted model, not a curated record